GGAGUUAUUAGGUCGUAGCCAGG
Molecule: non-coding RNA, 23 nt
Filed under: Drosophila melanogaster (fruit fly)
Lineage: Eukaryota; Metazoa; Arthropoda; Insecta; Diptera; Drosophilidae
Source: RNAcentral